AAACUGCUGAAGAGUCCCAGAAUAGAACGAAACGCCGUCCAAUGC
This 45-nucleotide non-coding RNA is filed under the name Schistosoma mansoni. The record is from RNAcentral. Lineage: Eukaryota; Metazoa; Platyhelminthes; Trematoda; Strigeidida; Schistosomatidae.